RNAcentral lists this ribosomal RNA (486 nucleotides) under uncultured bacterium. Its description in RNAcentral is "partial 16S ribosomal RNA". It matches the Rfam family "Bacterial small subunit ribosomal RNA", at positions 28 to 507 of the family's 1533-position model. The record is from RNAcentral.
GAUGAACGCUGGCGGCGUGCUUAACACAUGCAAGUCGAACGGGAUCCAAGGAUCUUUUUUCGUUUUUUGGUGAGAGUGGCGAACUGGUGAGUAACACGUGAGUAACCUGUCCUUUUCUUUGGCAUAAGCUCCUGAAAGUGUGUUUAAUACCUUAUGUUCUGUCUGCCUCGCUUGGGGUGGUUGGGAGAGAUUUUUUCGGUGAAGGGUGGGCUCGCGGUCUAUCAGUUUGUUGGUGGGGUGAUGGCUUACCUCGGCUUUGACGGGUAGCCGGCCUGGGAGGGUAGUCGGACGCAUUGGGACUGAGAUACGGCCCAGAAUACGGCGGGAGGCAGCGGGGGGGGAUAAUGCACAAUGGGCGCAAGCCUGAUGCAGAGACGCUGCGUGGGGGAUGAAGGCCUUCGGGUUGUAGACUUGUUUUGAACUGAACAAGGCGUAUCUUAGGGGUGUGUCGAGAGCAGGGGUAGCUUAGCGCCGGCUAACUAAGUG